RNAcentral lists this long non-coding RNA (642 nucleotides) under Mustela putorius furo (domestic ferret). Its description in RNAcentral is "lncRNA (ENSMPUG00000029847.1)". Lineage: Eukaryota; Metazoa; Chordata; Mammalia; Carnivora; Mustelidae. The record is from RNAcentral.
CUGAGGAGUAGGUAACUCUUGCUUCUGAUUACCAGGACAUUAUGAUGGAAGAGAUUUGCAUGUCUUUUAAAGAGCUACUCGCAUCUCUGUGUGCUGUGUGAUGUCCUUCUGUGUGCCUCUUUCCUACACUGGAUUGCGGGAUACUUAGAAUGGAUAAUAGUAUUAUCAUAUCCUGUACUCCCAUCUUCAACCUGAGAAUUACUGAACUAUGAACACCAUCUCAAGUAUCUUCAAACCAUGGCAUCUUGUUUUUAAAUUGUUCUCCAGCCUGGUGUCUAUGCUCAGGCUGUGUGUGCUCAGAUUUUCAGGACCUACCUUAGCUGCCACCUCUCUCCCCCAUCCAUGAACAAUGGCAGCUGUGGAGGUGACAGUGGCAUUCUGUCCCUUUGACCAUAUUUCAUAUUAUCUGAGAAGACAACUGACUGAAGAAUGGCCAGUUAAUUCCCCAGGAAUCUAGACCCCAAGGGCAUCCAUGUUUUCUACCAUGACGGACACAGAGAAGUACAGAGAAGCAGCUAAUAGAAAUGAAGAAGAUGCUUAGAUAGAGUUAUGCUCCCUGGUUGUGUUUUCUUUAUAUUAAUUUCCUAUUAGAGUCUAAUAAAUUACUCUCAAACACAGCAACUUAAUAAAAUAAACAUUUAC